GUUUUUGUAGAUUUUUAAAUAAAACUUAGAGAUUCCUUGUAUGACUCUCUCAAAUCUCUCUUUUGUGGUAUUUCUGGAUCCUUUCCAAGGCAGUAAUGGUAUAUGCCUUCUCUCAAAGUAUGUGGUGUUUUUGGUAUGAGGCAUAGUGAUAUUGCCUUCUCUCUCACCCUACUCUAAUAAGGUUUUGAUAUCUGGAGCUCAUAGGUGGGAGAUAGAUAAUACAUACUUACAAGACAUUUAUUGCAUAGUCAAACCAUGGAUUCAGAAGAACAAGUCAAUAAGUCAAAUCAAGAUGUGCAUGUGUGGCGAGUGAAUGGUGUAUGGUGAUGAUGGUGAUAACAAUAGUGAAAGUCUAAUUCUACUUUUGCUCUUUUAAGGGGAUACAUACCUUUCUUGCACUUUGAAGCUUUUUGAGGAGAAUGAGAUGCUCUAUAUUUUGUUUUUCUUUUCCCUCAGGUGGGUAUCUUGUAACCCUAAUUCUACUAUCGGAAACUUGUCCAUUUUUACCUCUUGUCUCACUUUUUCUUUUCUUCGAGGUUAUAGGCACUUGCCCCUUUUUAUUUCCUCGUAUCCUCUUUUUUUUUAGAGUACUCAUCUCCUGAAAUAAUAUAACAAGUGGUAGUAACCAAGAUAACUCGAGCAUUUAUUUCACAGGGAAAAACAGAAAUGUUUUUGGCUAUUCUCUCCCGGAUUAGGAGUAGAAUACUUUUGGGUGGCUCUGGAGAUGGAAAUGAGUGGAUGUAUGUGGAUGCGUACUUCCGGAGUAGAAGCAGCAUGUAUAAGUGAACGUGCAAGUGAAUCUUGAUUUUAACCGCAUGACAAGCUCCUAAGGGUCUACACAGCUUGACCACAAUCAAUGCUCAUAAGCAGUAAAAAGUAAAUGUGUGGCUCAAAGUCUAGCAAGCAUGUAUAUAUGGCUGUGGUAGGAAUUUAAACUCUCAUCAUACAGUAACUCAUCAUUUGUUAUUUUAAAGAUUUUCAAAGAUAAAAUUCUCCAGAAUUCUAGCAUCUCUAGAACAGAUAAACAGCAGCUCAACUUUCCCAUAUCAUAUUCGUUAACAACUUAGACUUUAGAUCAAGUACUCUUCCCACAAGUUC
Molecule: long non-coding RNA, 1098 nt
Filed under: Sorghum bicolor (sorghum)
Lineage: Eukaryota; Viridiplantae; Streptophyta; Magnoliopsida; Poales; Poaceae
Description: long non-coding RNA (SBIC_LNC014209)
Source: RNAcentral